Potamilus streckersoni is the source of this 74-nucleotide non-coding RNA. The record is from the annotation of a GenBank genome assembly. Lineage: Eukaryota; Metazoa; Mollusca; Bivalvia; Unionida; Unionidae.
UGCUCUGGUGGCCUAGUGGUUAGAAUGUCUGCCUUGUGAGCAGGAGGUCACAGAUUUGAAUCAUGGCAGAGUCA